RNAcentral lists this ribosomal RNA (489 nucleotides) under uncultured bacterium. Its description in RNAcentral is "partial 16S ribosomal RNA". It matches the Rfam family "Bacterial small subunit ribosomal RNA", at positions 28 to 507 of the family's 1533-position model. The record is from RNAcentral.
GACGAACGCUGGCGGCGUGCUUAACACAUGCAAGUCGAACGGUGAAGGGAUCAGCUUGCUGGUUCUGGAUGAGUGGCGAACGGGUGAGUAACACGUGAGUAACCUGCCCCCUUCUUCUGGAUAACCGCAUGAAAGUGUGGCUAAUACGGGAUAUUCUGGGUCUGUCGCAUGAUGGGUCUGGGAAAGAUAUUGUUUCGGUGGGGGAUGGGCUCGCGGCCUAUCAGCUUGUUGGUGGGGUGAUGGCCUACCAAGGCGGUGACGGGUAGCCGGCCUGAGAGGGGGGACGGUCACACGGGGACUGAGACACGGCCCAGACUCCUACGGGAGGCAGCAGUGGGGAAUAUUGCACAAUGGGCGCAAGCCUGAUGCAGCGACGCCGCGUGAGGGAUGGAGGCCUUCGGGUUGUAAACCUCUUUCGCCAGUGAAGCAGGCCUGCUCCUUGUGGGUGGGUUGACGGUAGCUGGAUAAGAAGCGCCGGCUAACUACGUG